UGUUCCAAACGCGCAUCACUUGUUCGCUUACAGCCAGUAGUGAUCCAAAGCCCUCCCUCCCAAACAUUUCUCAUCAGAUCUACACAAAUCACGUAGGUCGCCUAUUUUGGAUUCAAAACUGCAAAUUUCGCCAAAAGAUGACUAGUUUGCAUCCCUGUAAACACACACAGCUUAUAUAUCAUAGCUAAACACACAUACAACUUAUGUAACAUAGCUAAACACACAGACAGCUUAUGUAUCAUAGCUAAACACACACACAGCUUAUAUAUAUCAUAGCUAAACACACACACAGCUUAUGUAACAUAGCUAAACACACACACAGCUUAUGUAUCAUAGCUAAACACACACACAGCUUAUGUAUCAUAGCUAAACAAACACACAGCUUAUGUAUCAUAGCUAAACACACACACAGCUUAUGUAUCAUAGCUAAACACACACACAGCUUAUGUAUCAUAGCUAAACACACACACAGCUUAUAUAUCAUAGCUAAACACACACAGCUUAUGUAUCAUAGCUAAACACACACACAGCUUAUGUAUCAUAGCUAAACACACACACAGCUUAUGUAUCAUAGCUAAACACACACACAGCUUAUGUAUCAUAGCUAAACACACACACAGCUUAUGUAUCAUAGCUAAACACACACAGCUUAUGUAUCAUAGCUAAACACACACACGGCUUAUGUAUAAUAGCUAAACACACACAUAUCACGUGUCUUUGAACCACAGGUUUGUAAUAUGGUCACGUCUCUCAGUUUGCAAAUUAGAUAUCUAAAAUGGGUAAGUCAAUAGAUACACUGUGCUAGCCUUUCCCCAGAACACAGUCAUACUCAAAAUAAAAUGAAUGCAUUCAUGGAAUGUUGCUUCACAUGCUUGAUCUCACUUAGAAGUGAGAUCACUUCGGGCCUCCCGAGUGGCACAGAGGUCUAUGGCACUGCAUUGCAUUGCUAGAGGCGUCACUACAGACACGGGUUUGAUCCCGGGUCUGUGUGGCUGGCUUCCGGGUUAAGCGGG
This 1013-nucleotide long non-coding RNA is filed under the name Salmo salar (Atlantic salmon). Its description in RNAcentral is "lncRNA (ENSSSAG00000093146.1)". Lineage: Eukaryota; Metazoa; Chordata; Actinopteri; Salmoniformes; Salmonidae. The record is from RNAcentral.